Molecule: ribosomal RNA, 492 nt
Filed under: uncultured bacterium
Lineage: Bacteria
Description: partial 16S ribosomal RNA
Rfam family: Bacterial small subunit ribosomal RNA
Source: RNAcentral
AGUGAACGCUGGCGGUAGGCCUAACACAUGCAAGUCGAACGGCAGCACAGUAAGAGCUUGCUCUUACGGGUGGCGAGUGGCGGACGGGUGAGGAAUACAUCGGAAUCUACUUUUUCGUGGGGGAUAACGUAGGGAAACUUACGCUAAUACCGCAUACGACCUACGGGUGAAAGCAGGGGAUCUUCGGACCUUGCGCGAUUGAAUGAGCCGAUGUCGGAUUAGCUAGUUGGCGGGGUAAAGGCCCACCAAGGCGACGAUCCGUAGCUGGUCUGAGAGGAUGAUCAGCCACACUGGAACUGAGACACGGUCCAGACUCCUACGGGAGGCAGCAGUGGGGAAUAUUGGACAAUGGGCGCAAGCCUGAUCCAGCCAGACCGCGUGUGUGAAGAAGGCCUUCGGGUUGUAAAGCCCUUUUGUUGGGAAAGAAAAGCAGCAGGUUAAUACCCCGCUGUUCUGACGGUACCCAAAGAAUAAGCACCUGCUAACUUCGUG